Small nuclear RNA from Brienomyrus brachyistius, 108 nucleotides. Lineage: Eukaryota; Metazoa; Chordata; Actinopteri; Osteoglossiformes; Mormyridae. The record is from RefSeq and is a predicted model, not a curated record.
GUGCUUGCUAUGGCAACACAUAUACUAAAAUUGGAACGAUACAGAGAAGAUUAGCAUGGCCCCUUUGCACAGACUACAAUAUGUAAAACAAAGACUUUACCUCCUCCU